This 459-nucleotide ribosomal RNA is filed under the name uncultured bacterium. RNAcentral's name for it is "partial 16S ribosomal RNA". It matches the Rfam family "Bacterial small subunit ribosomal RNA", at positions 338 to 795 of the family's 1533-position model. The record is from RNAcentral.
CCUACGGGAGGCAGCAGUGAGGAAUAUUGGUCAAUGGCCGAGAGGCUGAACCAGCCAAGUCGCGUGAGGGAAGACGGCCCUACGGGUUGUAAACCUCUUUUGUCGGGGAGCAAAGCGAGUCACGUGUGACUCAUUGAGAGUACCCGAAAAAAAAGCAUCGGCUAAUCCCGUGCCAGCAGCCGCGGUAAUACGGAGGAUGCGAGCGUUAUCCGGGUUUAUUGGGGUUAAAGGGUGCGCAGGCGGAGGUGCAAGUCAGCGGUAAAAUUGCGGGGCUCAACCCCGUACUGCCGUUGAAACUGCAUCCCUUGAGUGCGCGAGAAGUAUGCGGAAUGCGUGGUGUAGCGGUGAAAUGCAUAGAUAUCACGCAGAACUCCGAUUGCGAAGGCAGCAUACCGGCGCGCAACUGACGCUCAUGCACGAAAGCGUGGGUAUCGAACAGGAUUAGAUACCCCUGUAGUC